UGGGGAAUUUUGGACAAUGGGCGAAAGCCUGAUCCAGCCAUGCCGCGUGAGUGAAGAAGGCCUUCGGGUUGUAAAGCUCUUUUAGUCGGAAAGAAAGAGUUGCAAUGAAUAAUUGUGAUUUAUGACGGUACCGACAGAAAAAGCACCGGCUAACUACGUGCCAGCAGCCGCGGUAAUACGUAGGGGGCGAGCGUUAAUCGGAAUUACUGGGCGUAAAGGGUGCGCAGGCGGUCUUGCAAGUCAGAUGUGAAAGCCCCGGGCUUAACCUGGGAAUUGCGUUUGAAACUACAAGACUAGAGUGCAGCAGAGGGGAGUGGAAUUCCAUGUGUAGCAGUGAAAUGCGUAGAAAUGUGGAAGAACACCGAUGGCGAAGGCAGCUCCCUGGGUUGACACUGACGCUCAUGCACGAAAGCGUGGGGAGCAAACA
RNAcentral lists this ribosomal RNA (427 nucleotides) under uncultured beta proteobacterium. RNAcentral describes it as "bacterial SSU rRNA". It matches the Rfam family "Bacterial small subunit ribosomal RNA", at positions 355 to 774 of the family's 1533-position model. Lineage: Bacteria; Pseudomonadati; Pseudomonadota; Betaproteobacteria. The record is from RNAcentral.